UACGUAGGUGGCAAGCGUUAUCCGGAUUUAUUGGGCGUAAAGGGAACGCAGGCGGUCUUUUAAGUCUGAUGUGAAAGCCUUCGGCUUAACCGGAGUAGUGCAUUGGAAACUGGGAGACUUGAGUGCAGAAGAGGAGAGUGGAACUCCAUGUGUAGCGGUGAAAUGCGUAGAUAUAUGGAAGAACACCAGUGGCGCAAGCGGCUCUCUGGUCUGUAACUGACGCUGAGGUUCGAAAGCGUGGGUAGCAAACAGG
RNAcentral lists this ribosomal RNA (253 nucleotides) under uncultured bacterium. RNAcentral's name for it is "partial 16S ribosomal RNA". It matches the Rfam family "Bacterial small subunit ribosomal RNA", at positions 524 to 776 of the family's 1533-position model. The record is from RNAcentral.